RNAcentral lists this ribosomal RNA (758 nucleotides) under uncultured bacterium. Its description in RNAcentral is "bacterial SSU rRNA". It matches the Rfam family "Bacterial small subunit ribosomal RNA", at positions 60 to 813 of the family's 1533-position model. The record is from RNAcentral.
AGUCGACGGAGAUAUACGCUGAAGAUUUAGCUUGCUAUUGAUUCUUGUAUAUCUUAGUGGCGGACGGGUGAGUAACGCGUGAGCAACCUGCCUUUCAGAGGGGGAUAACGUUUGGAAACGAACGCUAAUACCGCAUGACAUUAUUGAGCUGCAUGGCUUGAUAAUCAAAGGAGCAAUCCGCUGAAAGAUGGGCUCGCGUCCGAUUAGGUAGUUGGUGAGGUAACGGCCCACCAAGCCGACGAUCGGUAGCCGGACUGAGAGGUUGGACGGCCACAUUGGGACUGAGACACGGCCCAGACUCCUACGGGAGGCAGCAGUAAGGGAUAUUGGUCAAUGGGGGAAACCCUGAACCAGCAACGCCGCGUGAGGGAAGACGGUUUUCGGAUUGUAAACCUCUGUCCUCUGUGAAGAUGAUGACGGUAGCAGAGGAGGAAGCUCCGGCUAACUACGUGCCAGCAGCCGCGGUAAUACGUAGGGAGCGAGCGUUGUCCGGAUUUACUGGGUGUAAAGGGUGCGUAGGCGGCUAUGCAAGUCAGUAGUGAAAUCCAUGGGCUUAACCCAUGAACUGCUAUUGAAACUGCACAGCUUGAGUGAAGUAGAGGUAGGCGGAAUUCCCGGUGUAGCGGUGAAAUGCGUAGAGAUCGGGAGGAACACCAGUGGCGAAGGCGGCCUACUGGGCUUUAACUGACGCUGAGGCACGAAAGCGUGGGUAGCAAACAGGAUUAGAUACCCUGGUAGUCCACGCUGUAAACGAUGAU